CCUACGGGAGGCAGCAGUGAGGAAUAUUGGUCAAUGGCCGGAAGGCUGAACCAGCCAAGCCGCGUGAAGGACGAAGGUGCCAAGCAUUGUAAACUUCUUUUGUCAAGGGACAAAAUCAGGCUUGAGAGCCUGACCGAGGGUACUUGAAGAAAAAGCAUCGGCUAACUCCGUGCCAGCAGCCGCGGUAAUACGGAGGAUGCGAGCGUUAUCCGGAUUUAUUGGGUUUAAAGGGUGCGUAGGCGGGCUGUUAAGUCAGCGGUAAAAGUCCGGGGCUCAACCCAGGAGAGCCGUUGAAACUGGCUGUCUUGAGAUGUCGAGAGGUAUGCGGAAUGCGGAGUGUAGCGGUGAAAUGCUUAGAUAUUGCGCAGAACUCCGAUUGCGAAGGCAGCAUACCGGCGGCGAUCUGACGCUGAGGCACGAAAGCGUGGGUAUCGAACAGGAUUAGAUACCCGAGUAGUC
RNAcentral lists this ribosomal RNA (459 nucleotides) under uncultured bacterium. RNAcentral describes it as "partial 16S ribosomal RNA". It matches the Rfam family "Bacterial small subunit ribosomal RNA", at positions 338 to 795 of the family's 1533-position model. The record is from RNAcentral.